AGAGUUUGAUCCUGGCUCAGGACGAACGCUGGCGGCGGGCUUAACACAUGCAAGUCGAACGAGAACGCGUCCUUCGGGGCGCAAGUACAGUGGCGCACGGGUGAGUAACGCGUAGGCAACCUGCCCUCGAGUGGGGAAUAACUAUCGGAAACGGUAGCUAAUACCGCAUGAAGUCCUGAACUGCAUGGUUCAGGAUGAAAGUCUUCGGAUGCUCGGGGAUGGGCCUGCGUCGGAUUAUGCUUGUAGGUAGGGUAACAGCCUACCUAGGCUACGAUCCGUAGCUGGUCUGAGAGGACGAUCAGCCACACUGGCACUGAGACACGGGCCAGACUUCUACGGAAGGCAGCAGUGGGGAAUCUUGGGCAAUGGGCGAAAGCCUGACCCAGCCACGCCGCGUGGAGGAAGACACCCCUACCGGGCGUAAACUCCUUUUUUACGGGAAGAAGACCUUCCUCGGGAAGGUUUGACGGUACCGUACGAAUAAGCACCGGCUAACUCCGUGCCAGCAGCCGCGGUAAUACGGAGGGUGCAAGCGUUGUCC
This 541-nucleotide ribosomal RNA is filed under the name uncultured bacterium. Its description in RNAcentral is "bacterial SSU rRNA". It matches the Rfam family "Bacterial small subunit ribosomal RNA", at positions 8 to 546 of the family's 1533-position model. The record is from RNAcentral.